RNAcentral lists this ribosomal RNA (440 nucleotides) under uncultured bacterium. RNAcentral's name for it is "partial 16S ribosomal RNA". It matches the Rfam family "Bacterial small subunit ribosomal RNA", at positions 338 to 795 of the family's 1533-position model. The record is from RNAcentral.
CCUACGGGGAGCAGCAGUGGGGAAUAUUGCACAAUGGGGGAAACCCUGAUGCAGCGACGCCGCGUGAGCGAUGAAGUAUUUCGGUAUGUAAAGCUCUAUCAGCAGGGAAGAAAAUGACGGUACCUGACUAAGAAGCCCCGGCUAACUACGUGCCAGCAGCCGCGGUACUACGUAGGGGGCAAGCGUUAUCCGGAUGUACUGGGUGUAAAGGGAGCGUAGACGGCGGUGCAAGCCAGAUGUGAAAGCCUGGGGCUCAACCCCGGGACUGCAUUUGGAACUGUGCUGCUAGAGUGUCGGAGAGGCAGGCGGAAUUCCUGGUGUAGCGGUGAAAUGCGUAGAUAUUAGGAGGAACACCAGUGGCGAAGGCGGCCUGCUGGACGAUGACUGACGUUGAGGCUCGAAAGCGUGGGGAGCAAACAGGAUUAGAUACCCUUGUAGUC